GUUGUCUUUUCCUCUUUUAAUUUGCAUUACUUUAUCUGUAUAGUGCACGAAGCAAAUCUCCAAUGCAUGAUAAAUCUGCAUGUAAUAAUACAAAGGAAGACAGCGGUUGCUUUGAUCCAGAUGAUGACGAUGCUUUCUUAGACAACGAUCAAAGUGGAAAAAUUUGUCUUACAAGCCCAGGAUUGUCAAAAGACGAAAAUAUUCUCAUGCGUAAAGCCGAGAGAAUUUUAAAGUAUGUUUAUGAUAAUCGUCGAAUGUUGAAGAAAUUAUCGUAGGAAUAAAAAACAUAUACACACAAGAUAUUAAUUAAGCAGAGAAAAUAAGUAUAUAUGCAUUUCUGAAAAAUAAUCAUAAUAAGUUUUACGUGCUUGAAAUGAUGGCUUUCAACUGCAUGUGAUAUUAUGGAUUAUGUAAAAGAACUUGAAAAUUUAUUAACAUUUAGAAUCAAUUCUAAAAAAUCUUACUUGAUAAAGCAUGAUGCAGUAUGGUUCCUAAUAAAGCUUUCUGACACAAUUUCCUAACAAAUGAAAAAAAAAAUACUGACACUGGAGCAUACAUGUUUAGUUAUUACUUCAAAGAUAUUAGAUGUUAUAAUUAUUCGCUUUCCAUUGCUCUGUUACAGGAAAAACAAGUCAUUCCGACCAAAGUCAAAGCCACCUACA
Molecule: long non-coding RNA, 662 nt
Filed under: Mytilus galloprovincialis (Mediterranean mussel)
Lineage: Eukaryota; Metazoa; Mollusca; Bivalvia; Mytilida; Mytilidae
Source: RNAcentral